AGCAUUUAACUGGGGGGGUAGCAGUCCAGGGAUAUUAGUUCGUGGGGAAAAUAAACUUUAAAUGGAAAUAAAACUUUAAAAAAUAAUUUUUCUGUAUUAAUGGACUUUUGUCUUUUACCGUAAAAAAUCGUUAAGAGAUUAUUCUAACAUAAGGGACUUAUUAAACACUCGACCAAUAAAAACUGAGCGACAAAAAAAAACCAGGAAGCUUAUCCUAGUAGCAGACGAUAGACGCGGUACUGAGAAGUGAACGACGACGUUUCUCACGAUGAUGGCUGAAUCUUACACAAGUGUACUGGAGGAGAACCGCUACACACUAGUAAGCAAGGUGGAUCCAGAGCCUUUCUUGGAUUUUCUACGACAGUUACACAUCUUGUCAGAAGAGGAUUGCCAGAUUGUUCAAAACUACUAUCACAACAAAACACGAAGGGAAAGAAUGCCCAGAAAAGAAGACAGAACAAGGGGACAGGGCUAAGAAAUUGGAAAUUGUGGAACUAUUAAAAGAAAAUGGGGCAGAAGGCAGAUCUGCUUAAACUGGCAACCCGUCUAGAUUGAAGACAAGUGUAAAAGGGUCAGUUUCCACU
Long non-coding RNA from Pomacea canaliculata, 584 nucleotides. RefSeq lists it as uncharacterized. NCBI's taxonomy places the organism in Eukaryota, Metazoa, Mollusca, Gastropoda, Architaenioglossa, Ampullariidae. The transcript has 3 exons. The record is from RefSeq and is a predicted model, not a curated record.